AUCCGCAUCGACGCGGAGAGGGGAGGCCGACGGGACGCGGCAGGCGGCGCGCUCGUGGGCGACGGCACGUGAGCGAGAGGCCGGCGCAGCUGAGCUGAGGAGACGACGCGGCUGGCCAGCAGCGCGGCGGCGCGGCACAGUUUUGACGGCGACUAUCCUCUCCACCGCAUUCUCAUCUGUAAGGGCCGCACUCUCUUCCUUCCCCUCUCUGCUCCUUGGGUUUCUUGUUCUUAGCGCGGAUGGAAGCGGCCGCGGGGUCGGCUCCUAAUAGGCGCGUGCGGUUCGAGGGAUGGGGACGUCGGAGUUCCCCAAUUCGGGGAAGCACUGCAGCGGCGGCAACUGCCACCAGAUCGACUUCCUCUAAUCCCCUUCACCUGCGACCGCUGCGACCACGAUGCAUCGGCAUUUUGGGAGCAACAAGCAUUAUCAGCUAGAGGAUAUACGGCAAGGACAAUUGUCCCUGCCUGCAAUGCAGUGGUAGACAUGUCAACAAACUCAAGAGACCUCAUAGAACGAGAAUUAGCUGCAUUUGGCCAGAGCUUGGAUAAUGUGAAGAAUGCAAUGCCUACACUACUGCAUUGUCGAUCAGUUCAUGCAUUGAUGCUUCCUGAAAUAUUUGUGACUUGUAGUUUUUUUCUUACAAAUAACUUUUCUUGUUACAUGUUCUUCAGCAGAAAUGCAUCUUAUCCAGUUAUCCUCCCAUCCAAAUUAAUGAGUUCUAAGUAAGUUUCUUUCAUAAAAAGGCAAAUAUUCUUCCUGCCAUUUUAAAUAAAAUCAUUGUUUCAUACUUAUACAAAUUAAUCUAUAGCAAAAACAACAAUGAUACAUGUGCACUGUGUCUUGGUAGAUUGCUAACUAGAAGUGCAUUUUUCUAGUUCUGAUUUUCCAGCUAAAUAUCAGAAAGUCAUGUCUGAACAACCAACUAAAGAUCAGAAAGUCACACUCUGUGCAAAUAUGGUAGCUUGUGAAAGAACUGAAAGUGCUUGAUUGCCCUGUAAAAAAAUCCCCUCGCUGUGCUCGCCGCAAGGCUUGGCCCUCUCAGGCAUGGGCCAGGGUUCGGGGGUUUUUUCACGGCCGGGUGAAGCCGUAGUCGCUUCCUCUUAAUGAAAAACGGUGGGGUCUGUUCACCCCCCCGGCCGCUUUUUUUUUCUCAGUUGAGACACAAUCCAAUUGUUAAUGUUUUCAUGUCAGGCCAUCUCAAAUGGUUAUCAGUCAACUAUGCUGCUGGUCAGUAAGUUAGUGAGCUGCUCUGAACAAUCCAUGAUAAUAGCUUGCAUCAGUUCAGUAUUUUGUAACUGUGUGUAAUUUUUUUCCUUAAUAAAUCUGCCUAUCUUGAUGAAAUAAAAUAAUGCUACCUUUUAACAUGACCUUUUAGGUUAUAAAGGAGAUGCACAUAUAUCACAUGCACACACCACUAGCACACAAACCAAAAACUUGACUGUACCUCGGGUCCUGAACUCGAUUUCAGUUUGCACAUAAUGAACUGUCACUCUGUUAGCUGGGUUACAAUAAGUAAAGUUUUUGAACUAACAGGGACUUUCCGGUGCACAAGUAUUAGUUUAAAUUUUAUUAUUAAACUAUAAUUAAGAAAACUUGUUUCCUUUUCUUUGUUUCACUUGUCGAUAAUGCAAUGGCAUUUCCUUCUCAAGUUUGUUGUUUCCUUUCUUCAAUGCAGUGAACUUUGAUGGAAAAAUAAAUACAAAGGUUUUAUAAGAUAGCAUUACAGAUAGUUAGAUAACAUAGUUUUGUUUUCUUAUUUUUACCGUGAAUUAUGUUUUUACUUGUUAAGCUUUCGAUAUCACAGGGGUGCAGCUUCUUUUUCUGAUAAGCCAGGAGCCUUUGCUACUCAAUUGCACAAGUGCAUGCUUGUCUAACUGUUGCUAGUGACAACAUUUUCACUUGCAGACCUAGGUUGGUGCAGCAGUGUUGGCAACAUGGAACCGUGGAUUCAUGGAGAUCUCUUGCGCUUCAGUAGUCAACAUGGAACUACUUCUCUAGCUGAAGCAACUUCAGAUGUCACAACUGGUUCUAUGAUUGGCAGGUCCAGCAAGUGCCAUCACAUUACAGGUGGAUUGGAUGCCGGAGUUGCAUAGGCGGUUCGUGCAGACGGUGGAGCAGCUGGGCAUUGGCAAGAACCUGUCGUCCUAGUUCUCUUUCAUUGUCCAGGCACAAAGAAAAUUACACUAGGAUGUUUUGUUGUAAUGGUUGAUCGAUUGCUAGCGUUCUAUUGUGUUAAGUUAAACUCUAGGAUGAGGAUUUUGUUGCUCAUGGAGUUUGAAAAAGCAUGCUUGAGGCACUUGCCGUAGCUGUGAUAGUCAUUUUUGUGCUUUGUAAAUCAGACCUCCCAUAACAUGUUACAAAUUGAUGUUCUUGUAUUUAUAUGGCUUUAAUUGCUUCA
This is a long non-coding RNA of Panicum virgatum (switchgrass), 2398 nucleotides long. RefSeq lists it as uncharacterized. Lineage: Eukaryota; Viridiplantae; Streptophyta; Magnoliopsida; Poales; Poaceae. The transcript is spliced from 3 exons. The record is from RefSeq and is a predicted model, not a curated record.